Molecule: long non-coding RNA, 232 nt
Filed under: Mytilus galloprovincialis (Mediterranean mussel)
Lineage: Eukaryota; Metazoa; Mollusca; Bivalvia; Mytilida; Mytilidae
Source: RNAcentral
GUCUGCCAACUAAAAAUCAUUAUGUUUUAUGCUUAUUGUUGAUAAUUUAGUUCAUUUUCUAACAAAUUCUUUAACCAUCAAUUGCGCAUUUCAACAAGUAAUGUACAUUUCAUCGUGUUGCUUAUUUCUCCGCCUGCAUGAUAUGAGGCCUUUUUAUAAAAGGGGGAAGUUUCCAAUAAUUAAAUCAAAUGAUAAAAUUAACACAUUAAACAACAAUUGAAAAUGUUUUUUU